This is a non-coding RNA of Podarcis lilfordi (Lilford's wall lizard), 4334 nucleotides long. The record is from the annotation of a GenBank genome assembly. Lineage: Eukaryota; Metazoa; Chordata; Lepidosauria; Squamata; Lacertidae.
CUUCCGGGGGGCGGCGCGAACGGCAAUGGCGGUCCUCUUCUGACGGGAGAGGAGGCUCCGCAGACAUCGGGUCGUCCGCUACGGCGAAGCGGAGACCCAUUUUGGAAAACCCCAGGCAGCAAGAGCCUGGGGUCUUGAGGCUCGGUGGGCGCCUUUAGCAACCCUCCAAACGCAGAAGGAACCUCGUAAGGGGCUCCGGAGCGUGGAGGGGGGUUGCGGCGCUGAGAGCUGCUUCACAGUCUGCGGAGUGAAGCCGCGCUGCUGCUGCCGGUGAGCGCUGACCCCUUUUCCUGUUAAAAUUCGGAUUCGGAUGAAAAGCAACUUACUCGUGAGUAAAGACUGAAUCACUUUAAAUUAGAGACUUUAAAUGAAAAACUUUAAUUUGGCUUGAACUUGGCUUGAACUUGGCUGAAAGCGGAGAGACGUGGAAACAGGAAGUCCGUCUUCCGCAGCCAUUGAACUUAAAAAAGCAACUAAGGUGGAGGAGUGGAGGCUGAAAGAAAGAGAUUUUAAACUCUACAGAGCCAAGCAUCUAUUGAACUUAUAACUUAAAGUAAAGACAUUAAGCUGAAGAUUUGGAACUUUUAUUUGCACUUGACUUUCCCCCCUUAUUGGAUUACAAAUCAGAAGGUGAAACCCAGAGUCAGGAGCUGCCUGAGCAUUGAGAGAGUGAGCUGUCAGUGUUGAUUUGGAUACUGUAUAUUGGAACUUGCAACAAUCUGAGGGUACUGAGACUUUUAAAUUUGAAACAUUCUUUUUGGAGACAAAUAAGCACUGUCUGUAACAAAGUGAUUACUUAUAAACUCUGCUAAAUAUUUAUAUUUGAAGGUUCUUGGACAUUAAAUCAGACUCUGAAAGACAUUUUAAGCUCCCUCUAGAGGAUUGGAUUAAAACAGUGACUUUACAAGUAUAUUUACUUUCGAUUCCCUUGUUGUUUGCUUGCUCUGGGCCUUUCUAUUCCCGUGGGAAAAACUCAGUGUGACCUUGACUGAUAGACAACGUUGGAAUGAGUGGCACAAGAAAAAGAGGGAGAGCUAGACAAACAACUUUAACAACUCUAACCUCAGCCUCGCAGACACGCAGAUCAUCUGUACCUACUUUGCCCUCAGAAGUACAACUUGAAGAAGUUGCCUUGCCACAGGCAAAAGAGGGAGAGGGUGAAGCAGAGCAGUUACAAUUGGAAGAUAUGGCCUCAGGAGUAUCUGUUUCUGUUCUAGAAAAAAUUUUUGAAAAAUUGGAAGCUUUGGACAAGAAAGUAGAUGCGCAAUCAGCUAAGAUUGAUAAAAAUACAGAAUGUCUAAAUAAAUUAACCAUACAAGUGGUACAGAAUACACAAGCAAUUGGACAGUUAACGGAGGCCUCAGCAGAAAAUCGGAAAUUGGCUGAGGAUACCAGACAAAAAUUGGAAAAUUUAGAGCAAGAGGUAAGACCACUCACUAAACAAGUUGGGGAACAUCAGACUUAUCUUUCUAUGAUAGAACUGCGAAAUCGUGAGAAUAAUCUGAGGAUUAGAUCACUACAAGAGGCAGAAGAAGGAAAUUUAACUGAGUUUUUGACCAAAGAAUUUUCCAAGUUCUGGAAUUUGGAAGAAAAGGAUUUUAAAAUUGUGUCAGCUUUCAGACUUGGAAGAUUCAUAAAGAAGGAGAGGCCCAGAGACUGUUUGAUUACAUUGAGAUCGAAGGAGGAAAGGGAUAAGAUUUUGGGCCUACAUUACGGAAAGUCACUGGAGGUUUUGGAUAGAAGAAUUGAGAUCUAUAAAGAUAUUCCAAGACAACUGUUGGAUCUUAGAGCCGCCUAUUCUGAGCUUGCUAAACUACUAAGGAGCAACGCAAUUCCAUUUAGGUGGGAAUUUCCCCAAGGAAUAUCUUUUACCUUUAGAGGGAGAAAGGUCAAAGUUAGAACAUUGGAAGAGAGAGACAAAUUUUUGGCUACAUACGGAGAGGACCUACAAAAAGGAAUUGAAUUACCUUCUGGGCCUGGGGCAAAGCCAGCAUUAACACCAGCACCUGGGGAACUUGAAGAUCCAGAGAAGAUACCACCCCGGGAGAAAUAACCAGAUAGAUCCAGGAUGUCUCUGCAAUUGUUGAGUUGGAACAUUAAUGGUUGUAACAUUCCGGAAAAAAGGAAGAAAAUAUUUCAUAUAUUAAAAAAAGAACAAUUGGACAUUAUCUGUUUACAAGAAACACAUGUGACGAGGCUCCACAGAAAAGUGUUAAUAAAUAAAAGAUUAGGCCAGGAAUUUGUUUCGUCGGAUAAAGUGAAGAAGAGAGGCGUGGUGAUAUAUGCAAAAGAGAGCCUGUCACCUAAAUUCCUAUUUAAAGAUGAACAUGGAAGAAUUUUGGCUAUUGAGAUACAAUAUCAAGGAGAGAAACUGUUGAUACUAGGAAUCUAUGCACCUAAUGAAGGGAAAUCGGAAUUUUACAAGAAGUUGCAGGGGACAAUGCUGGACUAUCUGGAUUACAACAACAUCAUAACGAUGGGAGAUAUGAACGGGGUCGUAUCAACCAACAUGGACAAGUCACAAAGUCAAAAUGUUACAAAAGACGGCAGACUACCUAAAACCUUUUUGAAAUGACUGACAAUAUGGAUUUGAUCGACAUUUGGAGGACAAAGAACCCACUAGGUAGAGAAGGAACAUUCUUUUCUGAAGCCCAACUGACCUGGACAAGAAUCGACCAAAUAUGGAUUUCUAGAGGCCUGGCACCUAGGGUCAGAAAAGUGGAAAUCUGCCCAAAGACCUGUUCUGACCACAAUGCAGUAAAGAUGGAUAUGACACUACUACCAACUGGAUCCUUUAGAUGGAAGAUGAAUGACAAUUUGUUUAGAGAUCAGGAAAUUACCAAGAAGGCCCAAAAAGUUUUGAAGGACUAUUUUGAGAUAAAUAUGAAUAAUUCGGUGGAAAAAAGAAUCGUCUGGGACGCAAGCAAAGCUGUAAUGAGGGGAUUCUUGAUACAACAGAAUGUAGUAAGGAAAAAAACACAAAAUGAGAAAAAGAUAAGAUCUUGGAUAAAAUAAAAGAAUUAGAGAAGAAAUUAAGAGUGAAUCCAAAGUCACAGCCAACUCUGAGAGAAAUUAAACUUUAUCAAACACAAUAUUCUAAAUUGAUAAAUCAGGAAAUUGAAUGGAAGGUUAAAUUAAUGAAACAAAAACGUUUGAGUCGGCGAAUAAAUGUGGAAAACUGCUAGCUUGGCAGUUGAAGAGAAGACAAAGAUUAAACACGGUUACAAACUUAGAGGUUGAUGGAAAAAACAUUCAGAAUCCAGUGGAUAUUAGAAAGUGUUUCCAGAGAUAUUUUAAAAAAUUAUACACCCAAGGGCCGCAAGACGAAGUUGAGAUUAAACAAUUUUUGGCAAAAAUGGAUUAUCUAAAUUGUCACAAGAAAACAGGACAAUCCUGAACUCUAAAAUAACACGACAGGAGAUUGAACAAGCUAUUCAGAACAUGCAACUUGGCAAAUCUCCAGGGCCAGAUGGGCUGACCUCCAAGUAUUAUAAGACAUUAAAAGACUAUUUGAUACAACCCUUGAUGGAGGUCAGCAAUGAAAUUAUGGAGGGGAAGAGGGCACCGGAUUCGUGGAAGGAAGCGUUCAUCACAUUAAUACCAAAGUCAGAAGCUGAAAAGACACAACUGAAGAACUACCGUCCCAUCUCUCUUUUAAAUGUGGAUUACAAAAUAUUUGCAGAUAUUUUGGCAAGUAGAUUCAAAAAGUUUUAAAUGAAGUAAUUCAUAAGGACCAGGCCGGUUUUCUCCCAGGUAGACAUCUGUUUGCUAACACAAGGAACAUUAUUGACAUCUUGGAACUUCUGCAAACAGAUAUAAAUACAAAAGCAGUUUUAAUUUUCAUAGAUGCGGAGAAGGCCUUUGACAAUAUUUCCUGGAAAUUUAUGAUGGGAAAUUUAAAAGAGAUGGGAGUGGGACGGGGUUUUGAGAAUGGGAUUGAGGCGAUAUAUUCAGAACAGAAAGCUAAACUGAUAGUUAAUAAUGUGGUCACAGAAGAGUUCAAAAUUGAAAAAGGGACACGACAAGGUUGCCCUAUCUCCCCUUUGUUAUUUAUUUCGGUUCUGGAAGUGCUACUGAACAUGAUUAGAGGGGAUCGGUUGGUGGAAGGAAUUCAGGUUGGUCAGAAACAAUAUAAACUAAAAGCUUUUGCAGAUGACCUGGUUUUGACCCUGCAGAAGCCAGAGCCCAGUACGAAAAGAGUAUUACAAUUGAUUAAUGACUUUGGUCGGGUGGCGGGAUUUAAAUUAAAUAAACAGAAAACUAAGGUUUUGGGGAAAAAUUUGACUGAUACAGAGUCAGAACGGUUUCAGAAUGAGACGGAACUUAAUGUGGUU